This is a long non-coding RNA of Ictalurus furcatus (blue catfish), 1003 nucleotides long. RefSeq lists it as uncharacterized. Lineage: Eukaryota; Metazoa; Chordata; Actinopteri; Siluriformes; Ictaluridae. The record is from RefSeq and is a predicted model, not a curated record. The transcript is spliced from 4 exons.
AGAGAGAGAGAGAGAGAGAGAGAGAGAGGGAGGGAAUUACCUGCGUCUGUUCCACAUCUUUACUAAUGAUAACUAAUAAGCUGUGAGUUUAACUGUAUGUUGCUAUGGUUACAGUUAUUUAUAGGCAGCGCAUUAAUUUAGAAUGGUGAUUAAACUGACUGGAACUACCUGUGGUAUAUACGGUUUUAACGCACACCUUCCAGCCAAUCAGAAUCAAGAUUCCAUGUAGAAGGAAUUAUUUAUAAUCGCACUAUCCGGUGUGACCCAGAUGAGGAUAGGUUCAAAAGGCUUGCAGUGUUUUCUUAUAUCCGCAUGCCUUUAAUGUAGGAUAGUCAAGAAGAACCUGUUUUUUCUAGGACUGCGUGUAUGGGGAUGGCCGUGGUGGAGGAUCCCGGAAACAUAGCGUGCAAGUGCGUGAGCAAUCAAUCCACCCACAUGUUCUUUUAGGAUGUGGAAAGAAACUGAAAGAACCUCACAUGGACAUGCGCUUUCAUGCUCAUGCUCAGUGUUUGCUUUAUUAAAGGCAAUCGAUGAAUCAUAAUCAAAGCUCCUGGUGUGGCUCAAUAAACAGGAAGGCAUCGUAAAAGAAGCAGGAGCUACAAUCAAAAACUGAUAGGAAAACCGGAAGAAACCAGGAAAAGGAACGCUCAGAAACGCAUACAGUACAACAAGAUUUCGCAACCAUGAACGGAGACGGAUUAAGGGCUGAACACAGAAAAGGUGCACACUUUAGCCAUACGAUCCUGCAGAACGCUACGGAAGUGGACUAGAAGUGCAGCGGAGAGGUGAUGCGUCUUGGACAGCGAUGAAGGACUAGGGAAUACCUUCAUGUUCACGCUACACAUGCGAUGACGUGUCCAUAUCCAUCCCAGACCUCCUCUGAAUGUGGUUUGAGUGAUUGGCUCACUAGGCGUCCUCGAGACACCUUAUACCUAUACUAAGCUCUAUUUGUUUAUUUGUUUAUUUAUUUAUUUAACAGAUCACCCAAGAUGCAUGUUAAAGC